Molecule: ribosomal RNA, 164 nt
Filed under: Stifftia chrysantha
Lineage: Eukaryota; Viridiplantae; Streptophyta; Magnoliopsida; Asterales; Asteraceae
Also listed under: 8 other names
Description: 5.8S ribosomal RNA
Rfam family: 5.8S ribosomal RNA
About the family: 5.8S ribosomal RNA (5.8S rRNA) is a component of the large subunit of the eukaryotic ribosome.
Source: RNAcentral
CAAACGACUCUCGGCAACGGAUAUCUCGGCUCACGCAUCGAUGAAGAACGUAGCAAAAUGCGAUACUUGGUGUGAAUUGCAGAAUCCCGUGAACCAUCGAGUUUUUGAACGCAAGUUGCGCCCGAAGCCAUCCGGCCGAGGGCACGUCUGCCUGGGCGUCACGC